CCUACGGGUGGCUGCAGUCGAGGAUCUUCGGCAAUGGGCGCAAGCCUGACCGAGCGACGCCGCGUGGGCGAUGAAGGCCUUCGGGUUGUAAAGCCCUGUCGUGAGGGGGGAAAACCGACCCCCCUCAGGAGGAAGCACGGGCUAAGUUCGUGCCAGCAGCCGCGGUAAGACGAACCGUGCGAACGUUGUUCGGAAUCACUGGGCUUAAAGGGCGCGUAGGCGGGCCGGCCAGUCGGAGGUGAAAGCCCCCAGCUCAACUGGGGAAGAGCCCCCGA
RNAcentral lists this ribosomal RNA (275 nucleotides) under uncultured bacterium. Its description in RNAcentral is "partial 16S ribosomal RNA". It matches the Rfam family "Bacterial small subunit ribosomal RNA", at positions 338 to 630 of the family's 1533-position model. The record is from RNAcentral.